Aquila chrysaetos chrysaetos is the source of this 782-nucleotide long non-coding RNA. RefSeq lists it as uncharacterized. NCBI's taxonomy places the organism in Eukaryota, Metazoa, Chordata, Aves, Accipitriformes, Accipitridae. The transcript has 3 exons. The record is from RefSeq and is a predicted model, not a curated record.
UGCUGGAUGGAGUCCAGUGCAGCAGUCCUCCUUAUCUGAGUUUCUGCUCAAUUUUAUGCACAUACACUCUUUGCUCAUCAACGGCCAACCUGCACGGGAGCCAAGAGUGCGUAAGAGGGCGACAGCUUUCCCCACCCACGCUUCUGAUAAGCUAAAAACAGAUUGAAGGUCUAAGUCAAUUUCACUUAAGCAUGUGAUAAAAUUCUUUGCUAAACUGGGGCCUAAGUCAGUGUGGUCUUAGGGUGGAACUCAAAUAACUGCUCUUGGAGGAGGAAGAACGGGCGCAAGAACGGAGCCAAAGGUUCUCCUGGGGUGACGGGCUGGGGUGAGCGGCAAAAGCCCAAGCAAAUGGGAAAACAGCGUGAUCCGAGAGAAGGAAGGAUUGUAUGACUGGCUCCGUGGCUACGGCUUGGGAGGAGGAAUUUCCUCGUGGGAACGUUGCCAGGAGGCUGUCUUAAUGAAAUAUAGCAGAUGGAAAUAAAGAGGAGAAGCCCGUCCUAUGUGACUAGCCAUCUGUCUGGGGAUCAGCAACAAGUAUUUCAUGGAUCACAGCUAGAAAAUUACUGGCCCAUCUUAGGUCAGCCGAAGGUGCCAGUGGCAGCUCUGCUUGGCAGCUGGUCCUUCUCAGCAUCGCACCCGCCGAGGGCGUCGGAGCUGGGGCGGGAUGGCGAUGCCAAUUAGAGGGAGGCCAUCAAUCAGCCCCUCCCUUCCAGCAUUCCUCUGAAAACGCCUGUAAGGAAAUUAUUAAAAUGCAUCCCCGCUGAUUUCCGCCCCCCCGGCUU